This 497-nucleotide ribosomal RNA is filed under the name uncultured bacterium. RNAcentral describes it as "partial 16S ribosomal RNA". It matches the Rfam family "Bacterial small subunit ribosomal RNA", at positions 28 to 507 of the family's 1533-position model. The record is from RNAcentral.
GAUGAACGCUGGCGGCGUGCCUAAUACAUGCAAGUCGAGCGAACAGAUGAGGAGCUUGCUCCUCUGACGUUAGCGGCGGACGGGUGAGUAACACGUGGAUAACCUACCUAUAAGACUGGGAUAACUACGGGAAACCGGAGCUAAUACCGGAUAAUAUAUUGAACCGCAUGGUUCAAUAGUGAAAGACGGUUUUGCUGUCACUUAUAGAUGGAUCCGCGCCGCAUUAGCUAGUUGGUAAGGUAACGGCUUACCAAGGCAACGAUGCGUAGCCGACCUGAGAGGGUGAUCGGCCACACUGGAACUGAGAAACGGUCCAGACUCCUACGGGAGGCAGCAGUAGGGAAUCUUCCGCAAUGGGCGAAAGCCUGACGGAGCAACGCCGCGUGAGUGAUGAAGGUCUUCGGAUCGUAAAACUCUGUUAUUAGGGAAGAACAAAUGUGUAAGUAACUAUGCACGUCUUGACGGUACCUAAUCAGAAAGCCACGGCUAACUACGUG